GACGAACGCUGGCGGCGUGCCUAAUACAUGCAAGUCGAACGCAGUGGGGACGGGUGAGUAAAACGUGGGUAACCUCCCAUCAGAGGGGAUAACACUUGGAAACAGGUGCUAAACCGAUACUGAUGGAUGAACCCGCGGUGCAUUAGCUAGUCGGGGGGGUAACGGCUCACCAAGGCCACGAUGCAUAGCCGAGCUGGGAGGGUGAUCGGCCACACUGGGACUGAGACACGGCCCAGACUCCUACGGGAGGCAGCAGGAGGGAAUCUUCGGCAAUGGACGAAAGUCUGACCAAGCAACGCCGCGUGAGUGAAGAAGGUUUUCGGAUCGUAAAACUCUGUUGUUAGAGAAGCGGUAUCUAACCAGAAAGCCACGGCUAACUACGUGCCAGCAGCCGCGGUAAUAC
Molecule: ribosomal RNA, 403 nt
Filed under: uncultured bacterium
Lineage: Bacteria
Description: partial 16S ribosomal RNA
Rfam family: Bacterial small subunit ribosomal RNA
Source: RNAcentral